GAAUUACCAUAAUUAGUUAUUGAAUAUACAGCAUUGAGCAUAGAGACUGGUAUGCUUUGUUUUAGGGCAGGGAAGGGAUGUAUGUUGGAAGAAUGUAAUAUUCCGCCUCGGAGAGCGUUUUUAGCUUCAAUCAUUUCGCUUAUGAAACACUUUCGGGGGUUGCUGCUGAAUUGUGGAUUUUCACACAUAAACACAAAUAUUUCUACAGUGCUGUCAUAGCGCCUUAUUCCCCCUAAGAGCCCUCCUUUUAAUGUUUGGCAAUGGGUUAGGUGGCCAAAGGCAAGUAAGGCUAAAUGUUGCCUCUCAUUUUUAUGUGCCAAUAAAGGAUUUCCUUAAUGGAUGUCAACUUCACCCCCCAUCUCCUGUUAGAUUUGGACAGCCAUAUCCUCAGAAUAUACAGGUUCUUUUAUUGCAAUUUAACAUCAAGAUAUAAUGUUUCAAAGAUAAAUGCCACUCGUGCCAUUAAUCUCCCCGGCACUAAAUUACACUAAUGAUACCAGAAUAUCACUAAUUAAUACUUUCAUCCAUAAAGACACACUUUCACCAGCCAAAUCUAUAUAGAUUGAGCUGCUGAGCUCUAAUAAAUAAAGUUGCUGAGAAAGAUGAUGGAAAUAUAAAACAAAUUUCAGGGCAAAACCCAUCCGUAGUCUUUUUUUUUUUCUUUCACUGAUGGAGCUCAAGUAAGUUAAAAAUAACACACUGCCAACUAUAAUAGACAUUUUUUAAAAUCUGAUAAGCAAUAUUUUGCUAUUUAUUGACGUGGAUAAACAACUUUUAGCGCACUAAAAUCGCCUUUUGCUCAUCUUUGUCAUCAUAUCAUCACCCCACCGACUCGAUGAGAAGGCUAAAGUCUUGAUCUAUACCACUUUAGAGAGGUAAUCUUGAUCAAGCUGUCAGCCGUUUCUUCUGCUCUUUAACCAGGUCACUCUGCAAUACAUCACGCUGCGGCUUCAUAGAGAGUUUCUGUCAGGAAUAACACAGCUUUAUUUAUGUGGUAUCCCCUGGCAUUUUGCAGGAAAUGUAUUACCUCUCCAACUGGCCCUAUGUCAGCAUUCCAUUAAAGCCUCUUCCCCCCUCGGUCUAAAUCUUAAAAUCCCAAAUAGACACUUUUUAAAUGUAAGUCACUCUUAAUUGAGGUCAGUUUCUGCUAACAUAACUCACGGCAGCACCUGACAAAUUAAGGUUUCCUCCGGCUGGCUUCUGACAUUGUGAGGAAGACACACAAAUGUAUCUAAAGUGGGGAGCUAACAACAAUCAUGACAGGCUCCUCCGGACGUCCAUAUUUCUGGGAUUUGAGGCUUGGAUAUUUUUUACUUAUUUUAGUGAUUUUUCAAUAUUUAAUGUGUAAUAUUACGAGCUGCAGACCAGGGUUAGUGGCAGGCCAGUAAAUAUGGGUCCAGACGGGUCAUUUAUUACAUGCACCAUGCCCACUUCUCUCACAUGUUGCCAGUGUCUGCUCUCUCUUCCUGUUAAUAGCCUUGUUGGAGCUGCAGACAGUGAUGUCAAAGGAGGGCCUGUAUAUCUACGGAGCUGGGUAGACGCAAGUGGCUCCCGGGAGGUCGGGAAAAAGUCAAGUUUUCUGGCCUCAAAAUCGGCACCAUCAGCUGAUAGUGCACUGAUGUUUAAAACAAAUGAAGCUGUUUUGGCUGCAGAGAGGCUUGUCAUCUCUCCCGCAUCGCCGGUACAAACUCAGGGCUCAUGUUCCCUGGCGGUUGGCGGUCCAGGCUGUCAGGUCCAGGGUAGAGCUAUGUGCUGACAUGUCAGUCAAGAUAAAUCAGCCUUAUCAAAGUGACAGGUGUUUGUCCACCUGCUAUAAACAUCUCCCACACUUCACUCCUGCUCCGUCUCUCUUGCAGGAUUAUUUAUAAGGCUGCGGCCUCCGUAAUCUGGCCCUGUUUACUCUCUUGCUGCUGCUGUAAUAUCAGGUCAGUGCUCUGCUGCUGAUUUAUUGUACUAGUUAGCGUGGUGAGUAAUGACCUCGGAUGGUUUGGGAGGAUAGUUUGUAAUCAAGUGAGGUCAGAGAUGCUUUAACUGUAAUUACAGCCCUUUACACCUACACGCACCGCAUGCCAAUCCUGUGCUAAAGUGAUCGCCCCCUUUUUACUCCCCUCCUCUUAUAGUUGUGAUGACCUCACAUAGGUCCCGUCUCAAUAUCAGCUCUUUAUUUAGCAGCGUUGUGUAAGACAGAGGAAGUAAACGUAUGAGGGUUGAGUUGCAGGAGCUUGCUGAGCUAACAGAGUCACUGGAUAGCAGAUUGUUGCCAUCACUCCCACUUAGUGUCAGCUCUGGUAUGCAUCCAAAGCACCGGGCCUGCCAAGCUAACCUGAGCUAAUUUAGAGGCCAGCGUACACAUGGAGCUGCUCAUCAGUGCCGGAUGACGUGGCCUCAGCGUCAGGCAAGAGGUUUCCACUGAGGACACCGAGACAUUGGGAUGAUGGACGGUGUCUGGAGAAGACAAGCUGAGCCGGUCAGUGGAUCUACUGCAGGCCGUGAGCUGCCUGCUGAUUUACACACACUGGCAGUGAAGCUCAGAGGCCCCGAGAGAUGGUGCCCUCUACCCCUCCAUUUCUUUCCCCCCUUGUUUCUCCACCCUCCGUCGUCUUCCGGCUGCCACCGCUGGCAGUCUCCCCGCUCUCCGGACUGGGCCUGGUCAAAGAACUCCCCCUCUACUCGUUCCUCAUCCCUAACAAGACUAUCAUUUCCAGACAGAAGAGUCCUACUAAUCCACCAUAAAUCAAGAUUUAGGAUGGGUAUGAAUAAUCUGGGGAUCAACUGUACGUAAACAUAUACACAGUGGUGCAGGUUUGUUGUCUUAACACAAGGCCUUUCCUUCUCAUCCAUCUGUUUUCUGCACACGCCAGAGGAAGCAUAUCUGAUUUUACACACUGUAUUAUUUCAGGAAAUUAUGAAGCCGUGAUCUCAACUUCCUUCCCCCCUCCUCGGGCCCAUGUGUUCAUGGCAGAGGAGCUAGUUUCACGCUGAUCAGCUCUGAUUCCACGAGAUGGGAAGCUGUUGCUCGCCUUGGUACAGUGAUCACGCCCGUUCCCAGUAAUUGCUACAUCCACACACCAACAGACGACAGCAUGUGGAGGGGAAAUAGCAGGGGGCAAAGGUUUCAAAAUAAAGUCACAAGACUGAGAUGAGCUCCUCCCUGUAACCGUCAAAUCCUGCUGAUGACUCAAAAAGAAGUCUGCUAAGUCUGCAUGUACCAGCAUGACUACACUGAACAACAGAAUCUACAGGAAUUUGGCACAAGAGGAAUAAUCCCGCAUGAUAAUAUCCAAUGUCCUGCCAAAGUAUGUUGUCCGACUUGAAUCCAACAGACCACCUUUGGGGCGUCAGGAAAAGCAACACAACCCAUCCAGCAAAGUAAUGCAAUUACUACUUCACAGAUCCAUGGUCAACAGUUACAGUAGUUCAGUAGCAGGUGAGUUUUAGGAGGUUUAAGGUUCAGCUGAGUGUCCCACAACAGUUAUGGGAGAUAUGUCGAGUCAGGACAGCGCCAUCAGGAAGCAGGUAUCAAGUACAUAGAGCUGUGUAACUACAGCCACAAACAAUGCCCUGCGGAAAUGGACAGUCUUAUAUCUAAAGUGCUACAUUUAACAAUCGUCUGACCUAUUGCAGGUGCACAAAAGUUAGUUUCAACAGGUGUAAAUGGCAACAGAUUCACUCUGGAAAUGAGGCCUUUUCAAAUAACUGACAGGACUUCACUUUGGGUAAAAGCAUCAAGUUAUAAUUUAGUAAAGAGGAAAAGGGAACAUCUGGGAAAUUUCCAGUGGGCCACAUCGUUUUAUAUUUCACCACAAGGGUCAUACAGAGAUAUAGAAAGACACAGUAGAAGCUGUGGCUGUAAAAACCUCACACGAUACAAGUUCAAACAACAGGUCUGUAAUGUUUAGUUCUAUGUGAACUUAGGGUACGGACAAGACAGCAGUUAGUUCACUCUGCCGACACAGUGUGGCUAUACGGGUUAUAAAGCACACGUUAAUCAACCAAGCACCACUUCCGGUGAGAGAUACUUGUGGCUAAACAGGACUAUAAAUUACCAAAUAUAACAAUAUAUUAAAAACAAAACACAUCCACAGUGAUUGAGUCUGCUACAUGACAUGUGAAAUAAAAGCUGCAACGGGUUAGUCUGACCUCAAAUCAGCCGCUCUACACAAAGGUUAGUUUUAGUCUCCAUCGCGGUGUCGAAGGCACAGGGACCUUUACCGAGCACCACGGAGCAGAGAGCACUUUUAAAACCCGUCCCCGCCGAGGAUCCCCCACACCUGCCAGAAAACUCUACCUGCAGCGGGACGUGAUUUCACACGGCGUGCCUCUAAUGUCAGCUGAAGGAGGACACUUGAUGGAGGUUAAACUAAGCUUCAGGUGAGAGCGCAGCUGUUUAUCUGCUGUCCUUGGCGUUCAACCGACACGAGUGUUUUUUUCUUUUUACUGCUCGUCGUCUCCACUGUGCCAGGUCAGCUUCUGCUCGUAGAAGUCGAUGACCACCUGGGGACAUCUGGCGCUCGCUUCGCGGGCCGGCAGCAGGGCCACGUCAUCCGAGUUCUUCCUGCGGGGAAACGAGCAGGAGGAGGGAAACAUUCAGACAAACGCUGAGCCAAAACGCUGGCGUGCAUUCAAGGACGGAGCAAAGAGGAAGCAGCCGAGUUACCAUUUGACGAGGAACAUGAGCUCUCCCUUUCGGUCCGUGGAGCCGAUGAUGCACUCGGGCUCGAGGUAAGUGCUGAGGUUAGUGUGGGCGUCUGACUGCUCUUCAUCCGGCUGGAGGACGAGGCUGCUGUUGCUCUGCACAGCGUGAGGCUCCUGCACACACGACUGCAGAGAGAAUGACAAGAACAGAAGGGCAGCAGUUAGUAAAAACAACCAAGGAAGCACCCACAUUAACAGACACGCUAAACAACUAGAACUUUUAUCAUAAAACACUUUCAAAAACGAGGGUUUACUAAGUUCUUUGAUAAAGCAAAACAACAACCAGCAGCCAGUCAAUAAAGUCAAAUAAAGCAGAGCAAAGUUUAUGAAAAAUGGGAAACAGGAAGACAAAAGGCACAGAAAUACAAAACAUGAGCGAUGAUAGUAAAGUAAUAAAAGCCACAUAAACCUAAAUAAGCAAAUAAAUGGCUAACAAGCCAACAUAAUGGAAAAACAGGUCUAGAGAAAUGAUUUUUCUUCCCAAGAAAAAUCAAUCACUUGUUCCCAUCUGACCCUCUCAGAAUCAGCUGAUUUUCUCUGUACAGUUAGUAUAUUUACUGAAGUCAUGCUAAACGGUACGUUCAUUCUAUGAAUAUUUUCCAAGUAAUAGUGCUGGAAUUAUCAUUGAUUUAAUUCCUGGAGUGUACAGAAUUUCAAAUAUUACAUGGUGAGAUUGUCAAAACAUGCCUGUGGUAGAAAAUUAUUUUCACACAGAAGGAAUCACGACUAGAAGAUGAGCCUGGUAUCAAAAUAUAAACGAGACCUUUCAUUUGCCACUUAUCACACAUGCUGAUAUGAGCAUUGAAAGUUUACCCAAAAAGCACUUGUUUUUAAAGUUCUCUCCAGUGAAAUGUCAGAAAACACAUCCAGAGUCUGUCAUAGAUAUUAAGCUGGUGCAGUUUUGCUGUUGAAAAUAUAGCUAAACCAGCUCAAAGUCGAUUAGAGUAAAAAAAAGUCACACAAAAAAAGAAAUUUUGGCAUUAGAUUGUGACAUGUGGAGUGGAUGUAAAUAUGAUUUGGCUGCAGCUCAAAUGUGUUUUUCAGCCCUAAUAAUUAGAUGUGUCCAUCUCCUGUACUUAUGAGGAUCAAAAAUGCUGGAAAAAAUAACAAAAAUUUAAAAAGUGCAAGCUUUCAUCAGACUCCUCUGCACUUCUAACGGUGUGGCUUCAUUAAAUAUAAGUUACUAGACAUAAAAAUCCAGGUGAUUCUAGGGGGAUCAGGUGGAAACUUUUUUCAGAUUUGGUUGAUUUUUUUUUAAGGAAUGACCCAGAAAUCAGUGAUUCUGCGAGCCUCGUGUCCUCAGGCAAAUUGUUCCAGAAAUUAAUAGAUCCUGCUAGCAAAUGCGCAUUUAAGAUUUAAGCUUUGACUCUGGAACAAUGACAAGAGCUCUAACUGAAGAGGGCCUGGGACCAGAACUAGAUAUACUUAAAAAAAAAAAAUCUGUUAAAUCUUCAAAUCAAUUCUAAAGUGAACAAGGAGCAAGGACUGGACAACAUGUCAGCUAGUAGAAGCAGUAAGAAGCCGGGCUGCUGUCUGGUUGUGGUAUUUCUGUUUAACUGUACAUGCCCAUUGUGAAAUAAAGGAAAUUCAACUGCUUUCACUUUCAGGAUCACUGCAAAACUAACUGCCUUCACACGCCAUUUAGUUUCAGACUGAGUCUUAAACCACCCCAAAAAAAAAAAAAAAAAAAGCAGGAACAAAAUCUACCAUACUGGUCAGAUGAUUUUGCCUGACAGCAGAGCAGCUUCUGCCUGAAAAAAAAAGGUGGAUUCUAAUACGCUUUGUUUCCUCGUUACAGAUUUAGGCGCAGACGUUGUGUGAAUAACGUGGAAAGAACACACUCACAAUUUCCGUCUCCUGCUCGGUCAUUUCUUCCUUGGGGAUGAACACUUCGUCGUCCUCGGGGUUGUAGGUUCUCAGGAACUCCUCGAUGAGUUCAGGGCAGUCCAGGUUGUCUUCGGGCUCCCAGGUGUUUUCUGCACUGUUGGAGGGGAAGCACAGCAAGCAUGUUUACCAUCAGGGACAAACAACACGUGAGACAAUAAAACACAACACUCACUCUGUGAAGCCUUUCCACUUCAGAUAGUACUCCACUCUUCCAUUAAAGACUCUCCGGCGGAUUAUUGUCUCCACCACAAACUCCUGGACAACUGUGGUCUCCUCUGUCUUCCUCUGUUUGGCUGUUUGCUUCUUUCUCAUUCUGAAACAAUAUACAAGAAAAAAACAGAAUGAAAGAAAGUUAAAAAUAUGGAUAACAUUUAGUUUUUUUUGGACAAGACGCCACACUGAGGUCAUAAACAGACACUUUCAUGUCCCUGCUGCUUUUUUUUUUUUUUUUUUGCAGAACAACAUGGCAGUGGUGAGUACUGCGCCCUUCACACAAUGCUCCUUAUUACAGCGCUCCACCUGCUGUUUCUUUCGGGAGCUUCUUCAGUCCAAAACGCAACAUGUUAGUAUGAACCUCAGCGCUGCCCACUUUCACAGUUUUUAGCGAAUUCCGCCUUAAAAACACGAGUGGAAACGCGCCCCGAGUGAUGCCACAACACGCUGGGAAUGAACAAUAUGCACGUACGCUCUCGGUGUUUACUUAAUCUCGGCGGACAGCCCGCUGCUGCAGCUGCUGCUGUUGCUCGGUUCGGCUUGGCUCGGCUCGGCUCUGCGCCCGUCGCUGGAGAACUACACGCACACCGCGCCGUCGACGCGCCUUUGUGCGCAAAAUGUGUUCUUUCGGCGCGUUUAAAUGCGCCCCAAACAACUUUUCAUGAAUGAGUUAAAAUUAAAGAUGGCCGUUGAUGCUCGGAGGAAGUGGUUGCCAAGGGAAAAGGUCAUGCCAGGAAAACCGGGAGGAGACGACGGGGACGCGCACGCCCCGCCGACCAAUCAGAGAGCAGUCCGCUCGUCCGUGCCCGUCCAGCGGUCCGGAACAGCCCUGCCCCCCAUGGGUGUCAGCCGGGUAUGGCAGGAGGGACCCGGGGCUGGCUGGAUCUCACUGGGAACACACUCUGGCUCCAGAUGCCGCAUUUUAUUAUAUGGCUUCAGAUGAAAACGGAUCCGUGUUUGGAAUCUACACACAAAAAUAAAAUAAAUAAAUUUAA
Long non-coding RNA from Amphiprion ocellaris (clown anemonefish), 7790 nucleotides. RefSeq lists it as uncharacterized. The record is from RefSeq and is a predicted model, not a curated record. The transcript is spliced from 8 exons. Lineage: Eukaryota; Metazoa; Chordata; Actinopteri; Pomacentridae.